CUCCAUUAAAACUAUCCUUAGGUCAUUCAAAACCCAUUCUAGGGUUCUACCAUGAGUGAGGAUUAAAGCUUACCUCAGAAGCUUUCCUUUCUUGAGCUAGAGGUGAAGGAGAGGGAGUUGCUUCACUCAUUCUUCUUCUUCUCCACCUUUUUCUCUUUCUUCUUUACUUUUUUUCUUCUCUUUUUCUCUUUGCCUUUUAGAGAGAGAAAGAGAGAUAUGAGAGGGUGUGAGGGAGAGAAAUGAGAGAAAUAUCUCAUACCCCCUCAUACAUAGCCCACAUAGUGCAUAAAUGCAAAUAAGCCCCUCAACUUUCAUCUCUUUCUACUGCCCAGACUGGGCAUUUUUCGCGCUCGGGGACCUGUCUCUCGAGCAUGGGACCGUUCCCAAAGAGCCCUCCCGCAGCUCAGCGGAGCUCUCACAUGAUGCAGCCGGUCCCUCCUGAUGGGACCGGUCUCUCGGGGACCGGUCUCUCCCCGCAGGGACCGGUUCCCGAGAGCUGAUUUUCUGGGACUUAGCCGAUUUUUCAUCUCUGAGAUUUUUCGCAUUCGGGGACCGGUCUCUCCCACCAGGAACCGGUCCCCGAGAGCUCAAAAGCUGUAGUAAGCAGAUUUUUGAUUCUUUAGCUCUCGAAAACCCCCAACAAUGCACUUUUACCUUUUUUGACGCCUUCGGCCUUUCCGAAGCGUACCAACC
This 693-nucleotide long non-coding RNA is filed under the name Ananas comosus (pineapple). RNAcentral's name for it is "long non-coding RNA (ACOM_LNC017816)". The record is from RNAcentral. Lineage: Eukaryota; Viridiplantae; Streptophyta; Magnoliopsida; Poales; Bromeliaceae.